AUUGAACGCUGGCGGCAUGCCUUACACAUGCAAGUCGAACGGUAACAGGUUAAGCUGACGAGUGGCGAACGGGUGAGUAAUAUAUCGGAACGUGCCCAGUCGUGGGGGAUAACGUAGCGAAAGCUACGCUAAUACCGCAUACGAUCUACGGAUGAAAGCGGGGGAUCGCAAGACCUCGCGCGAUUGGAGCGGCCGAUAACAGAUUAGGUUGUUGGUGAGGUAAAAGCUCACCAAGCCUGCGAUCUGUAGCUGGUCUGAGAGGACGACCAGCAAAACUGGAACUGAGACACGGUCCAGCCUCCUACGGGAGGCAGCAGUGGGGAAUUUUGGACAAUGGACGCAAGUCUGAUCCAGCAAUGCCGCGUGCAGGACGAAGGCCUUCGGGUUGUAAACUGCUUUUGUACGGAACGAAACGGUGAGCUCUAAUACAGUUUGCUAAUGACGGUACCGUAAGAAUAAGCACCGGCUAACUACGUGCCAGCCGCCGCCGUAA
This 493-nucleotide ribosomal RNA is filed under the name uncultured bacterium. RNAcentral describes it as "partial 16S ribosomal RNA". It matches the Rfam family "Bacterial small subunit ribosomal RNA", at positions 30 to 523 of the family's 1533-position model. The record is from RNAcentral.